Molecule: ribosomal RNA, 758 nt
Filed under: uncultured Enterobacteriaceae bacterium
Lineage: Bacteria; Pseudomonadati; Pseudomonadota; Gammaproteobacteria; Enterobacterales; Enterobacteriaceae
Description: bacterial SSU rRNA
Rfam family: Bacterial small subunit ribosomal RNA
Source: RNAcentral
AUUGAACGCUGGCGGCAGGCCUAACACAUGCAAGUCGAACGGUAACAGGAAGAAGCUUGCUUCUUUGCUGACGAGUGGCGGACGGGUGAGUAAUGUCUGGGAAACUGCCUGAUGGAGGGGGAUAACUACUGGAAACGGUAGCUAAUACCGCAUAACGUCGCAAAACCAAAGAGGGGGACCUUCGGGCCUCUUGCCAUCGGAUGUGCCCAGAUGGGAUUAGCUAGUAGGUGGGGUAACGGCUCACCUAGGCGACGAUCCCUAGCUGGUCUGAGAGGAUGACCAGCCACACUGGAACUGAGACACGGUCCAGACUCCUACGGGAGGCAGCAGUGGGGAAUAUUGCACAAUGGGCGCAAGCCUGAUGCAGCCAUGCCGCGUGUAUGAAGAAGGCCUUCGGGUUGUAAAGUACUUUCAGCGGGGAGGAAGGGAGUAAAGUUAAUACCUUUGCUCAUUGACGUUACCCGCAGAAGAAGCACCGGCUAACUCCGUGCCAGCAGCCGCGGUAAUACGGAGGGUGCAAGCGUUAAUCGGAAUUACUGGGCGUAAAGCGCACGCAGGCGGUUUGUUAAGUCAGAUGUGAAAUCCCCGGGCUCAACCUGGGAACUGCAUCUGAUACUGGCAAGCUUGAGUCUCGUAGAGGGGGGUAGAAUUCCAGGUGUAGCGGUGAAAUGCGUAGAGAUCUGGAGGAAUACCGGUGGCGAAGGCGGCCCCCUGGACGAAGACUGACGCUCAGUGCGAAAGCGUGGGGAGCAAACAGG